Molecule: ribosomal RNA, 439 nt
Filed under: uncultured bacterium
Lineage: Bacteria
Description: partial 16S ribosomal RNA
Rfam family: Bacterial small subunit ribosomal RNA
Source: RNAcentral
CUACGGGAGGCACCAGUGGGGGAUAUUGCACAAUGGGCGAAAGCCUGAUGCAGCAACGCCGCGUGAAGGAAGACGGAUUUCGGUCUGUAAACUUCUAUCAGCUGGGAAGAUAAUGACGGUACCAGACUAAGAAGCCCCGGCUAACUACGUGCCAGCAGCCGCGGUAAUACGUAGGGGGCAAGCGUUAUCCGGAUUUACUGGGUGUAAAGGGUACGUAGGCGGUUUGUGAAGUCAGAUGUGAAAAUCCGGGGCUCAACCUCGGAACUGCAUUUGAAACUGGCAAACUAGAGUGCAGGAGAGGAAAGCGGAAUUCCUAGUGUAGCGGUGAAAUGCGUAGAUAUUAGGAAGAACACCAGUGGCGAAGGCGGCUUUCUGGACUGUAACUGACGCUGAGGUACGAAAGCGUGGGGAGCGAACAGGAUUAGAUACCCCAGUAGUC